GCCCGCCUCGCCGCCUCCCCCACUUGGAAGUUGCAAAGCGAAGCCCACCAACCUCAAAAACCCAAACCCUAGCUCUCCUCGCCGCCAUCCCAUGGCGCGCCUCCACCUCGUGGUCGUGGCCAUGGCCGCGCUCUUCGCCGCCGCGGCGGUGGCGCAGGGCCCGAGCGCCUCCCCGACGCCGGCUCCGAAGGCGCAGCCACCGGUGGCGACCCCGCCGACUCGGCCGCCGGCCGUGGCGCCGGUGUCUCCUCCCGCCGCCCAGCCGCCAGUGACGACGCCUCCCCCGGUUUCCGCGCCCGCGCCCGUGCCCGCCCCGAGCGCCGCCGCGACACCGUCACCCCAGGCCUCGGCGCCGACCGCGGAGCCCCCCGUCCUCUCGCCGCCCGCGCCGGCUCCGGGGUCGAUCUCCCAGUCCCCGACGGAGGCCCCGACGUCUCCGCCGCCACCGAGCGCCGCGUCCGGAGUCUCCCCCUCCGCCGCCGCCGUCGUCGCCGCCUGGGCCGCCGUGGCAGCCGUCGCGGCGUUCUACUGAGAUCCGGCUCCCGGAGAUGAGUUCCUCGCCGCCGCCGAUAUCAUCACCGCCAUUACUGCCGUUAAUUUAUUAUUGUUAUUAUUAGCUAUUUCCCCCCUUCGCUCUGGGGUUGCUAAUCCCAUUGCGUUUUAAUCUAGAUCUAGCUUUUGUGAGUGAGAGAGAGACUGUGCUUGCCAUUGUAUAAUCCUCCCCCACCGGAUUCUUUUCUUUAAUCUACUUUCGGACAUUAUUAGUAGAGAUUUUGUCAUCCGAUUGCUCCUGCCUGCUUGAUCUGUUC
This 809-nucleotide long non-coding RNA is filed under the name Oryza sativa Indica Group (long-grained rice). Its description in RNAcentral is "lncRNA OsZS97_08G019620". The record is from RNAcentral. Lineage: Eukaryota; Viridiplantae; Streptophyta; Magnoliopsida; Poales; Poaceae.